This 55-nucleotide transfer RNA is filed under the name Pectinopygus varius. RNAcentral describes it as "tRNA-His". The record is from RNAcentral. Lineage: Eukaryota; Metazoa; Arthropoda; Insecta; Psocodea; Philopteridae.
UGUUAGUUUAACUAAAACGGUGGUUUGUGGUCCCACAAAUGUAAUCAAUUACACA